Molecule: ribosomal RNA, 251 nt
Filed under: Pseudoalteromonas sp. SR45-1
Lineage: Bacteria; Pseudomonadati; Pseudomonadota; Gammaproteobacteria; Alteromonadales; Pseudoalteromonadaceae
Description: partial 23S ribosomal RNA
Rfam family: Bacterial large subunit ribosomal RNA
Source: RNAcentral
AGGCCGAAAGGCGUAGUCGAUGGGAAACAGAUUAAUAUUUCUGUACUCGAUAUAAUUGCGAUGGGGGGACGGAGCAGGCUAAACAAGCAUGGCGUUGGUAGUCCAUGUGAAAGUGAGUAGGUUGGUGACUUAGGUAAAUCCGGGUUGCUGUUAAGACUGAGACACGAGACGAGUCACUACGGUGAUGAAGUUGUUGAUGCCAUACUUCCAGGAAAAGCCUCUAAGCUUCAGAUUAUAUGGAAUCGUACCCC